This 239-nucleotide ribosomal RNA is filed under the name uncultured bacterium. RNAcentral's name for it is "partial 16S ribosomal RNA". It matches the Rfam family "Bacterial small subunit ribosomal RNA", at positions 15 to 245 of the family's 1533-position model. The record is from RNAcentral.
GAUCCUGGCUUAGGAUGAACGCUAGCUACAGGCUUAACACAUGCAAGUCGAGGGGCAGCGGGAAGUCAGCUUGCUGACUUUGCCGGCGACCGGCGCACAGGUGAGUAACACGUAUCCAACCUUCCCGUUACUCUGGAAUAGCCUUUCGAAAGAAAGAUUAAUACCGGAUAGUAUCGAGAGAUUGCAUGAUUACCCGAUUAAAGAUUCAUCAGUAACGGAUGGGGAUGCGUUCCAUUAGG